UUGCCUGUAAGUGUAGUUAUUGGGUAAAACUGGUGGUGAAACUUAUAGGAUCACAGUAUGAUAUUAAGUGGGGGUUCCAGUUCAUUUACUUUGAGUAAAUUAGAGUGUUCAAAGCAGCCUCUUGGGGCAUUGAAUAGAUUAGCAUGGGAUAAUAGAAUAGGACUCUUGUCUAUUUAUUGGUUUAUAGAUUUAGAGUAAUGAUUAAUAGGGAUAGUUGGGGGCACUUGUAUUCAAUAGUCAGAGGUGAAAUUCUAGGAUUUAUUGAAGACAAACUUCAGCGAAAGCAUUUGCCAAGGAUGUUUUCAUUAAUCAAGAACGAAAGUUAGGGGGAUCGAAGACGAUUAGACACCGUCGUAGUCUUAACUAUAAACUAUGCCGACCAGGGAUAUGAGGAAAUUACAUUAUGUUAUUCAUUUAACAUAAUUCCUUGUGCACCUUGUGAGAAAUCAUAAGUUUUUGGGUUCUGGGGGGGAGUAUGGUCGCAAGGCUGAAACUUAAAGGAAUUGACGGAGGGGC
RNAcentral lists this ribosomal RNA (516 nucleotides) under uncultured eukaryote. RNAcentral's name for it is "bacterial SSU rRNA". It matches the Rfam family "Eukaryotic small subunit ribosomal RNA", at positions 660 to 1165 of the family's 1831-position model. The record is from RNAcentral.